UGAGUAACCUGCCCUUAACUCUGGGAUAAGCCUGGGAAACUGGGUCUAAUACCGGAUAUGACUCCUCAUCGCAUGGUGGGGGUGGAAAGCUUUAUUGUGGUUUUGGAUGGACUCGCGGCCUAUCAGCUUGUUGGUGAGGUAAUGGCUCACCAAGGCGACGACGGGUAGCCGGCCUGAGAGGGCGAUCGGCCACACUGGGACUGAGACACGGCCCAGACUCCUACGGGAGCAG
RNAcentral lists this ribosomal RNA (232 nucleotides) under uncultured bacterium. Its description in RNAcentral is "partial 16S ribosomal RNA". It matches the Rfam family "Bacterial small subunit ribosomal RNA", at positions 118 to 347 of the family's 1533-position model. The record is from RNAcentral.